UGAUCAUGGCUCAGGAUGAACGCUGGCGNNAGGUUUGACACAUGCAAGUCGAACGGGAAGCAGGUGCUUGCACCUGUGGAGAGUGGCGAACGGCUGAGUAACACGUAGGAACCUACCCCUCGGACUGGGAUAACAGUUGGAAACGACUGCUAAUACCGGAUAUAUUCUUCGGAAGGAAAUGGUCCGCCGCCGAGGGAGGGGCCUGCGGCGUAUUAGGUUGUAAGUGAGGUAACGGCUCACCUAGCCUGCGAUGCGUAGCUGGUCUGAGAGGGCGAUCAGCCAGACUGGGACUGAGACACGGNCCAGACUCCUACGGGAGGCAGCAGUUCAGAAUCUUGCACAAUGGGCGAAAGCCUGAUGCAGCCAUGCCGCGUGAGUGAAGAAGGCCUUCGGGUCGUAAAGCUCUGUCAGAGGGGAAGAUAAUGACGGUACCCUCAAAGGAAGCAACGGCUAAUUACGUGCCAGCAGCCGCGGUAAUACGUAAGUUGCGAGCGUUAUACCGGAAUCACUG
This 511-nucleotide ribosomal RNA is filed under the name uncultured bacterium. RNAcentral's name for it is "bacterial SSU rRNA". It matches the Rfam family "Bacterial small subunit ribosomal RNA", at positions 14 to 556 of the family's 1533-position model. The record is from RNAcentral.